Non-coding RNA from Rattus norvegicus (Norway rat), 2718 nucleotides. The record is from RefSeq and is a predicted model, not a curated record. Lineage: Eukaryota; Metazoa; Chordata; Mammalia; Rodentia; Muridae.
GGACUAAACUCUACUGAAAACAAAGCUCAUUAUUACCUGCUCACCACAUCCACCCAAAGAGGCAAGGAAAUGUAGUGAGUGUUACCUACCUGAACUAUAUAUGGACAAUUUAGUAAGUUCAAUAUAAUCCAAAGGUGAUAAUACAAGGGUUUUGUGAUAAAAGAGUAGCUUUGCAAUCGAGGACCAAGGAAUACCUCAAAAAUCACACCACAUAAUAGACACCACACAAUGGACUUAUUAUGGGGGGAUGGUAGGCACACACAAAAGGGCUAUCUCAGAGUUGGGGUUGAAGAACCCUAGGGGCUUUUGCCAUCCUUACACCCACCACCUCAGGUCAAAGCUUGGCCAAGUUCUAUCCUCCAACCAUAGUUCUCAGAAGGAGCAGGGACAUUCUUGAAAAACACAGAAUGGACUGACUGAUAGUCACCUGACCCUCUGGUCCCAGAUAGAAUUUGAAAUCAUGUCAUAGACUUGCUAGCCAAUAAAUUCAAAGGUCAAUAUGCUUAGCCAAUAAGUUUAAACUGUAACCUUACUGAUGUAACACGUACCCCUAAAAAGUAUAAAAACUGCUUAUUAUAGCCAUUUGGGUUUGCCUUCUAGUUGCUCACCACGAGGGUCUGAUUGAGGGUUGACCCGCUGGAAAAAUAAACCUCUUGCAUUUGCAUUGAACUCUGUUCUCGUGUCUCACUUGGUAGUGUCUCCUGGUAGUUAAGACUCACUUUGAGCCUUAAAUUUGGUGCAUUGGCCGGGAAGCCAGAUUCCCCCCACCCCCCAAGAGGUUUCGAGGAAUGGUGGUCGGAGGAAAAGCUCGAGCUUGAUGUCAGCCCACCUGGGAUGAUAUCCAACAACUCAUGGGAGUGCUCUUCAUGACCGAAGAGUGAGAGAGGAUAAUGCAGGAAGCCAGAAAGAACGUCCCCUCAGACACAGGGGCACCAUCGAUUGAUCAGACUGUCAUCGACAGCGAGUUUCCCCUGACUAGACCUGGCUGGGACUUUAAUGUGCAAGGAGAUUUGCAGGUCUUACAGAUAAAGUUCUCCCAGACAGGGUUUUCUAUAACAAUCAUCAUUCUCUGAGGACAAAUAACAGGGAGUCAGCUAGAACUGCAUUGGUCCCAAAGCAGAAGAGGGAACAACUGUUCAAGCCAUGUUUGCUGUCCAGUGUUCUAUUGCUGUCAAGAGACACCAUGACCACAGCAACUCUUAUAAAGGAAAACAUUUAACUGGGGCUGGCUUACAGUUUCAGAGGUUCAGUCCACUAUCAUCCUGGUGGGAAGUAUGGCAGCAUGAAGACAUGGUGCUGGAGAAGGGGCUGAGUGUUCUAUACCAGAAUCUACAGCAGCAAGAAGAAAGGUUAUGAGCCUGGGUUGGACUACUGAAACUCUGGAAACACAGUUCCAACGACACAAAGCCACUCCCUUCAAAUCCUCUUCAAGUAGCUCCACUCUCUGAUAAGCAAACAUUCACAUAUAUGAGUUUAUGGAGCCAUUCUUACUCAAACCACCACAUUUGCAAAGACCUGGAGCAAAUGGAACAAUUGUUACAGUCACUGUCCAGAGGAGAGAAAUAAUCCAGAAAGGUCAUAAAAGAAAACCUUGGGUAUCAACUCUUCCCUUCCAAUUUAUUUGAAACAGGGUCUCCCCUCUCUCCCUCUCUCCCUCUCUCCCUCUCUCCCUCUCUCCCUCUCCCUCCUUCCCUCUCUCUCCUCUCCUCUCCUCUGCAUAUUACAGGCUGGUUCCUAAGUUUCCUGGGGUUAUCUGUCUCCACUGCCCACUCUCCUUUAGAGAGACCCACACUGUAGUACUCAGCUUCUGUGUGGGUUCUGGGCACCUAAACUCAGGUAAUCAGACUUGGGCAGGCAGCAAGUACUUCACUGGUAUACUGAGCCAUCUCUUCAACCCAGCCUGGCAAUUUCUUUGUGUUAAGUAUACCACUAAUCUUUGCACUUCUCUGUAUUAAGGCAUCAGAAAUUAAAGCCUACAUCCAUACAAAAACGUAUACUCAAUAUUCAUGGCAUGGUUAUUCUUAAGAGUCAAAAACUGAAAACAGAUAAAUCUUCAACAGCAGAGAAUGGAGAGACAAUAGGUCCCUCUGCAGUGGAGGAAACAGUGGAUGUUGGUGCAUGGGCAGGAUGAAUGUAUAUCACAUUCAUUACACUAAGUGGAAGAAGCCAGAUAAAAGGAGAGCAAAUGUACAAUUCCAUUUAUAUAAAAUUCUAGACAAAACAACAACAACCACCCUAAAUAGUGACAGAAGUAAAUCAGCAGUCCCUUGGGGGCUGGGUCCAGAGGAAACUUUGGGGAUUUGUACCUUUAGUAUCUUGGUUGUGAUUUCAUAAAUACAUAUCCAUGAUUCAACCUACAUGUAAAAUUGACAUUGCUUGUUAUAUACUAAUCAUACCUCAAAUAUGCUUCAUUACUAAGAGCUGUUAAAAUCAGGGUCAAGUUGAACCAGGGAUUUAAAACUAUCCUAAUACUGCCUCUGGAGUAUAAGACACUCUCCUGUAGGACAGCCCUGCACAGUGUGCUCAUUCUAAAUCCCUGCACACAGUGGACAUGGUGGCUAUGUGCCCUGUACAACCUUGCUCAGUUCAGUAACCUGAGAAUAGUCCUUUCCUCUCCCAGUUCCAGCUUGGGGAAGUUCACAGACAUACUCUAUGGUCAGCUCUUGCCUUGUGCCUUCCCUUGGGUCAAUCAAUAAAGCUGGUGAAGAUGUUGCUAAA